This 127-nucleotide microRNA precursor is filed under the name Myotis lucifugus (little brown bat). Its description in RNAcentral is "mir-9193 microRNA precursor family". It matches the Rfam family "mir-9193 microRNA precursor family". The record is from Rfam by way of RNAcentral. Lineage: Eukaryota; Metazoa; Chordata; Mammalia; Chiroptera; Vespertilionidae.
CAUGCACCGGUGGGGUCCCUCGGCCUGGCCUGCACCCUCUCGCAAUCCGGGACCCCUUGGGGGAUGUUGGAGAGCUGCUUUUGGCCCAAUCCCCGCAGGCCAGGCUGAGGGACCCCACUGGUGCAUG